GGAGAUGUACCCAAGUGGCUGAAGGGUCCGCACUCGAAAUGCGGUAGUACGGCAAAACCGUAGCGAGAGUUCAAAUCUCUCCAUCUCCG
Molecule: transfer RNA, 89 nt
Filed under: Ruminococcus bicirculans (ex Wegman et al. 2014)
Lineage: Bacteria; Bacillati; Bacillota; Clostridia; Eubacteriales; Oscillospiraceae
Also listed under: 2 other names
Description: tRNA-Ser
Rfam family: tRNA
About the family: Transfer RNA (tRNA) molecules are approximately 80 nucleotides in length. Their secondary structure includes four short double-helical elements and three loops (D, anti-codon, and T loops). Further hydrogen bonds mediate the characteristic L-shaped molecular structure. tRNAs have two regions of fundamental functional importance: the anti-codon, which is responsible for specific mRNA codon recognition, and the 3' end, to which the tRNAs corresponding amino acid is attached (by aminoacyl-tRNA synthetases). tRNAs cope with the degeneracy of the genetic code in two manners: having more than one tRNA (with a specific anti-codon) for a particular amino acid; and 'wobble' base-pairing, i.e. permitting non-standard base-pairing at the 3rd anti-codon position.
Source: RNAcentral